CAUAAACAAGCCGCUCGCCGGCCGCCGGCUUCCGAGUUUUAAAUAAACUCUCGGGGCAGCCCGGGCGCACGCGGCUCGCUCGUGUCCCCCGCCCCCCGCCCGCGCCCGGGGGUCCACGUGUGCCGCGGCGCGGGGGGAGGGGGCGAGCGGGGCCGAGAGCCCGCGGGCGGGACCCCGGUCCGCGCCCCGCACACCCCAAGUGGCGCCAAGAUCAAGACUGAGUCCCAGAGAAAGGGCCGGCUGCCCCGAGCCACCGAAUCUGUGCAGAGACGCCGCCGACGAAGGAGAAAGCAAACUCGGGACGGGCCAGGCCUCUCGUGGAGUGAGUUGUUUUCCCCAAAGCUGCCUUCCAACACCCACCGAACGUCCGUGGAAGCAACCGCCCUUACGAUCAGCAUGAACGACAGCUUUUCGUUCCAGGUUCGGGAGAAAGGGGGUUCACGCUUCCGCACGCACAGGUGUCCCCCCACUUCCCACCUGGCCACGGGGACGGGGACUCAGCCCCACUCUGCCCAAGGCUGAGCGGCCCCCCACCUAGUUUCGGAUCCCCAACCAAAGUAGCCAGAUACACAGGCCGGUUUUCUAAAAGCUCCUCUUACCAGCAAUACCGCCCCCCCUUCCGCCCGCCCGCCGUGCCUUUCAACUGGUACACGGUGUGGAGCUAUCUGCCAAUUCAGCAGACACUCCUGUCCUGAUGGAAAUGUUUAGCUUGGCGCGUCCUCUCCGGCUGCGCGUGCUCGCGGCGCACGGAGCUCCAGCCCUGGGUGUGAUGGAGCCGCGCCGGGGCCGGGGCCUCUCCUAAUCUGGAUUAGGAAACAAGGCGGCGAAGUGAAGUGUGGGGAGAACAGAGCCGCUUUGUUCUGCCCCGGAGAGCCCGGGGGCGUUCUGUGUGGAGCAACCUCGGGGUGGGUGGGUAGGCGGCUACCAGCGUUUCCCUGCAUUCUCCACGCGGAAAAACAGGCACGGGGCCUUCGGAAACAACAGGGCUUAACGAGGUUCAGCCCAGAGGCUCAUUAGACCAGAGGGAAGUGCUGGGGCAUCGAGCUGCUCCUCAUGGGGGCCGCUGGUGCCUCCCUCCGGCCUCCUGGCGAGGACCCCUCACAUCCUCCAGCAGCCGCUGGAGCCCCCCCGCCUCUCAUCCCCACGGCCUGGGUCCGGGAAGGACUCCAUCGCACUUUCUGGUUGCCUAAUGCUAUAGCUCUUCUAGAACACCCCUGCGAUCACCGAGUUUAGAGGCCCCACCACCCUGGGGUGCUACCUCCCCAAAGGCACUUUUCAAAUGCACUUUCUGAAGCAGGAAACAGGAAGAAUCGCCAGCACCCCGCAGACGGGGUUCUUGUUGAAAAGAAAAGAAAAGAAAAGAAAAGAGCGCUGCAGGAUGGACCACGGGCGGCUCAGGUCAAGAAAAUGAAACUCUGAAAGGCCUGCAUUUUUAAAAAAACACAUGCGGGCAGACUUUGAAAAAGGUGUCCAAGAAGUUACGACCAAAACCUUACCACAUUUGUUAGAAAUUUUUCUAAUAGCAAGAGCUUGUUUCAUAAA
This is a long non-coding RNA of Mustela lutreola (European mink), 1542 nucleotides long. RefSeq lists it as uncharacterized. NCBI's taxonomy places the organism in Eukaryota, Metazoa, Chordata, Mammalia, Carnivora, Mustelidae. The record is from RefSeq and is a predicted model, not a curated record. The transcript is spliced from 2 exons.